Molecule: ribosomal RNA, 661 nt
Filed under: uncultured bacterium
Lineage: Bacteria
Description: bacterial SSU rRNA
Rfam family: Bacterial small subunit ribosomal RNA
Source: RNAcentral
AGUGGCGGACGGGUGAGUAACGCGUGAGAAUCUGCCUUCAGGUCGGGGACAACAGAGGAAAACUUCUGCUAAUCCCGGAUGAGCCUUAGGGUAAAAAAUUUAUUGCCUGGAGAUGAGCUCGCGUCUGAUUAGCUAGUUGGUAAGGUAAAAGCUUACCAAGGCAACGAUCAGUAGCUGGUCUGAGAGGAUGAGCAGCCACACUGGGACUGAGACACGGCCCAGACUCCUACGGGAGGCAGCAGUGGGGAAUUUUCCGCAAUGGGCGAAAGCCUGACGGAGCAAGACCGCGUGGGGGAGGAAGGCUCUAGGGUUGUAAACCCCUUUUCUUUGGGAAGAACAAAAUGACGGUACCAAAGGAAUCAGCCUCGGCUAACUCCGUGCCGGCAGCCGCGGUAAUACGGAGGAGGCAAGCGUUAUCCGGAAUGAUUGGGCGUAAAGCGUCCGCAGGUGGCAAUGUAAGUCUGCUGUCAAAACCCAGGGCUCAACUCUGGUCAGGCAGUGGAAACUACAUAGCUAGAGUUCGGUAGGGGCAAAGGGAAUUCCCGGUGUAGCGGUGAAAUGCGUAGAGAUCGGGAAGAACAUCGGUGGCGAAAGCGCUUUGCUAGACCGAAACUGACACUCAGGGACGAAAGCUAGGGGAGCGAAUGGGAUUAGAUACCCC